GUAAGUACUGCUAUGCCUAAAUAACUAUUAUUUUUUCUCAUAAAUUGUAUAUUCACAUUAAAGUGAAAAUUAACUUGCUGGAGAAGUCUAGUACAAUGUUGUGAUUUUCUGCAAACCAUCCUUCCAUGAAUAAAAACUGCAUGGAAGAUCUUGUGUAAUGUUAUGAAAUAUGUCACCACACAUAGCUUUAUGAAAAAAAGUUAUAAUUUAAAAUAUAGUUGCAGGGAUUAAACAUUUGCAUUCUGUCUAAACCAAGUUUCUUUAGCAGUUUGUUCCAUGGGAAGAGAGGAAGACCAGUGCUUCCAGGGUGAAGGGGACCCCCUUUCACUGGCAUAUACAAAUCAGGACAGAAGAAGCCAUCCCUCUUGUUUAUUCUGAAAAGACAAAGCAGAAAGAAAAUAUUAGGAAGAGAAAAACAGAUACAUACUUAACCACAUUUGCGCAUCAGUUUCUUUUAUGUAAAAGGAGCACUUUGAUAAGGUUACACUCACUGUACAGGAAACUAAAUUGACACUCUGCUCACACGCUGUGUGUCUCCAUAUGAGUCGUGCUCAUGCAAAACUCCCUAGCAAGGAAAUGCCUAGGAGUCAAACAUCAUUUAGUUGAGCCUUAUAAAUAGAGCUCAAAUUCAAAGGUGGCGAGGUCUGCUCAGAGAACAACCUGAAGUUCCCAGAGUGAAAUCAGAAUGGUCGGUUCGGCUGUGAUUGGCGAAUCAAGCCUGGUAAACAACUGUGGAACUUCAAAAACAAUGGCUGCCCAGUUCAUGCUCCAAACUGAUUGAAUAUGAAUAGUUGUGUGAUCUUAAUGGGUAGCUUCGGUGAGAAUCACUGCAAUAAAGAUUAACUGUUUAUCAUUCAUUAUUAGCUUGUUAUUAACAUUAAUACUGUAAAACAUAUUAAACCUUUUCUCUGAGGAAAGUCUAGGGAGAACAUAAAUGGGACCAUGGAUUUUAUCAGACCUUUCUUUAUACUUGCUAUUAUGAUGUUUGGGGACAUCGGAUUUGAAUUGUAGUGUGAAAAAAUCUAUGAAAUAAAGUUAUAUUGCAAUUAC
This is a long non-coding RNA of Heterocephalus glaber (naked mole-rat), 1050 nucleotides long. The record is from Ensembl. Lineage: Eukaryota; Metazoa; Chordata; Mammalia; Rodentia; Bathyergidae.